This 440-nucleotide ribosomal RNA is filed under the name uncultured bacterium. RNAcentral's name for it is "partial 16S ribosomal RNA". It matches the Rfam family "Bacterial small subunit ribosomal RNA", at positions 338 to 795 of the family's 1533-position model. The record is from RNAcentral.
CCUACGGGUGGCUGCAGUGGGGAAUAUUGCACAAUGGGGGCAACCCUGAUGCAGCGACGCCGCGUGAGCGAAGAAGUCUUUCGGUAUGUAAAGCUCUAUUAGCAGGGACGAAAAUGACUGUACCUGAGUAAGAAGCACCGGCUAAAUACGUGCCAGCAGCCGCGGCAAUACGUAUGGAGCAAGCGUUAUCCGGCUUUACUGGGUGUAAAGGGAGCGCAGGCGGCCUUGCAAGUCUGCAGUGAAAUACCGGGGCUCAACCCCGGAGCUGCAUUGGAAACUGUGAUGCUGGAGUGUCGGAGAGGCAGGCGGAAUUCCUAGUGUAGCGGUGAAAUGCGUAGAUAUUAGGAGGAACACCAGUGGCGAAGGCGGCCUGCUGGACGAUGACUGACGCUGAGGCUCGAAAGCGUGGGGAGCAAACAGGAUUAGAUACCCGGGUAGUC